GUGCAGCAGGCGCGAAUUUUUCACAAUGGGGGCAACCCUGAUGGAGCGACGCCGCGUGGAGGAUGAAGGCUUUCGGGUUGUAAACUCCUGUCAUUUGAGAACAAGUGUAGCCAACUAACUAUUGGCUACUUGAUAGUAUCAGAAGAGGAAGGGACGGCUAACUCUGUGCCAGCAGCCGCGGUAAUACAGAGGUCCCAAGCGUUGUUCGGAUUCAUUGGGCGUAAAAGGGUGCGUAGGUGGCGCCGUAAGUGGGGUGUGAAAUUUCGGAGCUUAACUCCGAAACUGCAUUCCAUACUGCGGUGCUUGAGGACUGGAGAGGAGACUGGAAUUCAUGGUGUAGCAGUGAAAUGCGUAGAGAUCAUGAGAAGACCAGUGGCGAAGGCGGGUCUCUGGACAGUUCCUGACACUGAGGCACGAAGGCUAGGGGAGCGAACGGAUUAGAUACCCUGUAGU
RNAcentral lists this ribosomal RNA (453 nucleotides) under uncultured organism. Its description in RNAcentral is "bacterial SSU rRNA". It matches the Rfam family "Bacterial small subunit ribosomal RNA", at positions 346 to 794 of the family's 1533-position model. The record is from RNAcentral.